RNAcentral lists this ribosomal RNA (430 nucleotides) under Pseudomonadota bacterium. RNAcentral describes it as "Proteobacteria bacterium partial 16S ribosomal RNA". It matches the Rfam family "Bacterial small subunit ribosomal RNA", at positions 355 to 776 of the family's 1533-position model. Lineage: Bacteria; Pseudomonadati; Pseudomonadota. The record is from RNAcentral.
UGGGGAAUAUUGGACAAUGGGGGGAACCCUGAUCCAGCCAUGCCGCGUGUGUGAAGAAGGCCUUAUGGUUGUAAAGCACUUUAAGCGAGGAGGAGGGUACUGGUAUUAAUACUACCAGGUACUGGACGUUACUCGCAGAAUAAGCACCGGCUAACUCUGUGCCAGCAUCCGCGGUAAUACAGAGGGUGCGAGCGUUAAUCGGAUUUACUGGGCGUAAAGCGUGCGUAGGCGGCUAAUUGAGUCGGAUGUGAAAUCCCCGGGCUUAACUUGGGAAUUGCAUUCGAUACUGGUUAGCUAGAGUGUGGGAGAGGAUGGUAGAAUUCCAGGUGUAGCGGUGAAAUGCGUAGAGAUCUGGAGGAAUACCGAUGGCGAAGGCAGCCAUCUGGCCUAACACUGACGCUGAGGUACGAAAGCAUGGGGAGCAAACAGG